UAACAGGAAACGUGCCCGGAUGUCUGGAGCC
RNAcentral lists this non-coding RNA (31 nucleotides) under Mus musculus (house mouse). The record is from RNAcentral. Lineage: Eukaryota; Metazoa; Chordata; Mammalia; Rodentia; Muridae.